RNAcentral lists this transfer RNA (93 nucleotides) under Gammaproteobacteria bacterium 39-13. RNAcentral describes it as "tRNA-Ser". It matches the Rfam family "tRNA". From Rfam's summary of the family: Transfer RNA (tRNA) molecules are approximately 80 nucleotides in length. Their secondary structure includes four short double-helical elements and three loops (D, anti-codon, and T loops). The record is from RNAcentral. Lineage: Bacteria; Pseudomonadati; Pseudomonadota; Gammaproteobacteria. RNAcentral also lists the same sequence under 1 other name.
GGAGAGAUGGCCGAGUGGUCGAAGGCGCUCCCCUGCUAAGGGAGUAUGGGCCCUUAAAUCCCAUCGAGGGUUCGAAUCCCUCUCUCUCCGCCA